RNAcentral lists this ribosomal RNA (890 nucleotides) under uncultured bacterium. RNAcentral describes it as "bacterial SSU rRNA". It matches the Rfam family "Bacterial small subunit ribosomal RNA", at positions 8 to 796 of the family's 1533-position model. The record is from RNAcentral.
AGAGUUUGAUCAUGGCUCAGGAUGAACGCUGGCGGCGUGCCUAAUACAUGCAAGUCGAGCGCCUUCACUUUGCCCAUUAGUUAAAGUGUAAUAUCUAAGCACUAAUAUCUAAUUUCUAAACAAGCACUAAAUUUUAAUAUUUAAAUAAUUGGAAUUUAAGAUUUGUUUAGGAUUUAGUACCUAGGAUUUAGAAUUUCACUUACAAAUACUAGUGAGUAGUGUGAAGGAGCGGCGGACGGCAGAGUAACGCGUACGAACGUACCCCAAACUGAGGGAUAAGCACCGGAAACGGUGUCUAAUACCGCAUAAUACCUCCGGGUUAAAGCUACGGCGGUUUGGGAGCGGCGUGCGUCUGAUUAGCUAGUUGGUGAGGUAAAGGCUCACCAAGGCGACGAUCGGUAGCUGGUCUGAGAGGAUGGCCAGCCUGACUGGAACUGAGAACGGUCCAGACUCCUACGGGAGGCAGCAGUAGGGAAUUUUCCACAAUGGGGGCAACCCUGAUGGAGCAACGCCGCGUGCAGGAGGAAGGCCUUCGGGUUGUAAACUGCUUUUAUCUGUGACGAUUUUGACGGUAGCAGAAGAAUAAGGAUCGGCUAACUCCGUGCCAGCAGCCGCGGUCAUACGGAGGAUCCAAGCGUUAUCCGGAAUUACUGGGCAAAGAGUUGCAGGUGGCAUAGUAAGUUAGUAGUGAAAUAUCCUGGCUCAACCAGGAAAACAUUACUAAAACUGCUAAGCUUGAGCAUAAGAGAGGUAGAUGGAAUUUCUAGUGUAGGAGUGAAAUCCGUAGAUAUUAGAAGGAACACCGAUGGCGUAGGCAGUCUACUGGCUUAUUGCUGACACUAAGGCACGAAAGCGUGGGGAGCGAACGGGAUUAGAUACCCCAGUAGUCC